Long non-coding RNA from Eufriesea mexicana, 389 nucleotides. RefSeq lists it as uncharacterized. The transcript is spliced from 4 exons. The record is from RefSeq and is a predicted model, not a curated record. NCBI's taxonomy places the organism in Eukaryota, Metazoa, Arthropoda, Insecta, Hymenoptera, Apidae.
UUGAAGACAUUCUGUUUCUCAUUUUAAAUGUAACGGCGUUCGUUAACCAAUCUUUCCAUUGAAGCUGUAUUGUAGUGUUAUGGUAAUUUAAGCAUAAGAAGGAUAUUGCUACGAAGCAAUUCAAGAUUUUCAUCGACAUGUGAAUAUCGUCGGGUGUAUGAACUUUAAUUUCGACGCCAUUUAGAGGCCGCCAUAGUUGAAAGACUUCCGUUUCACUAAGGAUGGUGAAUAUGGACAUACAAACUGAGUUUCGAUUCUUUGCACGCGACCCUUACGUUCAGGGGAUGUUUAAGUGACCCGCCGUCCCGGAUUAAACGAUGCCUGGGAACACGACAGUAGGCAGCACCCUCUUGGACGAGGAACUUCGUCGUAUCCUGAUGGAAAGGGAG